Homo sapiens (human) is the source of this 2545-nucleotide long non-coding RNA. Ensembl annotates it as NINJ2 antisense RNA 1. Its record names the gene NINJ2-AS1. The record is from Ensembl. NCBI's taxonomy places the organism in Eukaryota, Metazoa, Chordata, Mammalia, Primates, Hominidae.
GGAGCGCAGGAACCUUCACCUCCCGAGGACAGGCGCCUUCCCCUCGGGACCCGGCUCCCCUGCUGCCUGCGCCGCUCUGUCCCCCUGCCGCUGCCCAAGCCUCCAGCAGGGGCCACCGAGGGCUCCAGGAGCACCCCAGGCCCGUUCUUCUGGCCCACAGCGCCCCUCCUGUGACCCUCAGCGACCCUCCUGUCCUGCCCUCCGGCGGCGCGGCUGUCUGGAGACUCUGCACCGUCGCGGCCUCGCAGCCUCGCAGCCCCGCGCCGGGUGGGGAGGGGAGGGUGGCGUUCCUGAGUCCGCGGAGGAAAGGGUCGCAGCUGCAGUCGCGCCAGCCCUCGGGCCUACAUCCGCUCCGCCGCGACGCGGCUCACAAACUAGGGAGGGGAGAAGGGAAGAAAGACCCGAUUCGGGAACACGGCUUUGUCCCUGGAACUGUACCUCAUGUCCCCUCACUUAAUCCUCCCAAGACCUGUGGGGCGUGUCGUCAUUUUAGGGCUGGAGAUGAGGAAACCGAGGCUCGGAGAGAUGAAGCGUUGUACGGCCACCGAGCGGCUGCUUUGCAACGAAGCCAAAGCCAACGUUUUGUUCUUAGCGGCGGUCGUUUGAGCCACGCCUCACCGCAACGAGUCUGCCAUCAGCCAAGAGAUGGAGUGAAGGUACCUGAGCGCAGGAACCAUGGUCUUCAUUGCUGCCUCAGCAUUAGCGGAAGUGCCACGGGCCGGCUCCCAGGGGGCCAGAGUUUCCCAGGAACACCAUUGAGUACCACUGAACUAGAGUCUGCAAGUUAAAGUAAGGCAAGAAGGAAAACCGGAAACAACUGUAAAAACCUGACCUUUCGUCACCUUAAUACUGGCCAUCAUUUAUCGAGUGCUUAUUAUGUAACAGACAUUGUUCUCAGUGUGUGAGUGCAGUGUUCCUCAAACCUAAAUGUGGGCCUGAAUCGCAGCGGAUCUUGGUAAAAUGCAGUUUCUCAUUCAGUACCUCUGGGGUGCGGCCUGAGAUUCUGCAUUUCCAACAAGCUCCCAGGAUACUUUGUAUAGAAAGGCUUUGGUGUAUUAACUAACUCGAUCUUCUUAAUAAUCCUAUGAAAUACUACUGCUAUUCCCAUUUUACAGAUGAGGAAACAGAGGUUAAGCAUAUAUGAACUUACAUCAAAAUAAAUAGACUGCAGGGCAAGGAGGGAGGGGAGAAUAGUGUGGGCAGUGUACAGUGCAGAAACAAAGUUCUAGGCAGAGGAAAAAGGAUUUACAGAAAGCCUGGCAUACAGGGCAGGGGGACGGGGCCUGCACACGGGGCUGUUUCACCGUUAGACGUUAUAAGCACAGUACUUGGGGCUAUGGGCUUCCUGAAGGUCCCAAGUAUUUGAGACCUGAAAAAAAUUUAUUGACACCUACAUAGGAAAAGUGAACUUUUAAAUUAAUAAUUCCAAAAUUCAAAUCACGAAUUGUUUCAAAAAUUUUACAUGAUAGAAUUCAUAUUUAGUAAGCGAUACGGGUAUAUUUUAAUGCAUUUGAUUUUAAAAACGGGGUAGGGCCUACUAAGAACAGGCCAAGCCCUGGCCCCAGUGGGUUUGGAUAUAAUCCUGAGGGCAGCUGGGAACCACUGAGAGAAGCAGGAGAAUGUUCUCUGUGGCUACAGUGAGGAGAAUGGAUUGGAGGGAGGCCAGACUGGAGGCCCAGUGGCUAGAGACCAGAUAGGCAGUUACAGUCUUCCAGACUGCGAGACAAUCUCUCUUUAGUGCCAAGAUUAGCAUAAAAUCAUAGCAUUAUAUAACCCAAUUAUUCUUUGAUUCCUGCAUCCCCAAUCUGACUCAGCAUUCUAAAUUUACUUAAGAUCUGGGGACAAGGGUUUUUGGCAAAUCCUUGAAGGCAAAUGAUGUUACAGUCAAUCAGUAUAUGCCUUGAGCCAGACAGACAUGGGUACGGGCCUCAGUUCUGCUGCUUGCUAGCUAUGUGACUUUGCACAAGUGAUUUAACUUCUCUGGGCCUUGGAUUCCUUACUGGUAACACGAGCAUAAUCGAUUCCUCACAGAAUUAAGUGAGAAAACUAUGUAUGUAGGACUUCUUAUGGAGUGGGUACUUAGAAAUAAAUGGUAGCCGUUAUCAUUUAUGUGCCUUUGUUCUGAAAUCUGCUUAAGUUUUCUCUAGGAAGUAACAGAGGGUAGAAUAAAUUAUUUAGUAUUUUCAUCAAUCUUCUGAGAUAAAAAUUAUUAUCCUCAUUUUGCAGAUAAGGAAAAGGGCUCAGAGAUUAGAUCACAGCUCUGUGAAGUAGGGGCACAAAGUGGUCAACCUGGAAGAGCUGGACUUUAUUUUGCUUGCACUUCUGUCCAUGCACUCUCUCCAGCAGUUGACAUUUGCCCUCUUUGAUGGCUCCACGACCAAUUUCCCUUAGUCAUGGCAUGAGUCAGCUGUGAGGGCUGAUGGCACACCACCGAAUACUCUGCUGUGGCGCCACUAGCCUCCAUUUACCUUCUUCUCCAACGUUUUCCAGCCUCCCUCAUACCUUGCCCCCCAGUUUUAUAGCUUCUGGAUUUUCCUUAUUAAAG